AGCAUCCACUGAUGUUGUCUAAGUAAGCAUCCACAACAGGAGUCACUAGCAAGUACAUGUACCCUCUCCCUCAGACCCGAAAUUUUGUUUUGUUUAAUUUUAAUUUCAAAUUCAUACUUUUAUGAUCGUGUUUACUCUUUUAUUUUCUUGACAGACUACACAAAAUGUUAUGAGAUAGAAAGGUGAAAGGUCAAAGUAAGACGUGGUCAGGAAGUGAGCAGUUCAUAUAAUCAUUUUUGUACUAUGUAUACACAUUCAAAUGUCUCUGCACUUUGUUGACUUCAAAUGGUUGAAGAACAUACGGAAUAUUUCUUGUCUUUCACUUCCUGUGUUUGUGUUGCCUUUUUUGUUAAACUGCUGACACUUGUGCACGGACCUAUAUAGCAGCAACUUGUGUGGAAGCCUGGAAAAAUAUGCCAACGUAGAAAAGUGUACAGCUUAUGGACACGUGUACAGCUUCAUGUCGCAGCGAUACUGUUGUCGACCAUACAUUUGGAUUACGCGUUUUUUAGGCAUUGACUUGUCCACUAACGUUUGAAUAGGAUGAACAUUUUACUUUUCAGUUGCUCAUUACAAACAGAUCAUACGUUCAAAGUGUUCUGUUGUUAUACUCAACUGUUUCUAGGACUUGCAACUAAAGUAUAACUAUUAUAAAGGUGUAUGUAUCGAUUUAGACU
Biomphalaria glabrata is the source of this 677-nucleotide long non-coding RNA. RefSeq lists it as uncharacterized. The record is from RefSeq and is a predicted model, not a curated record. The transcript has 2 exons. Lineage: Eukaryota; Metazoa; Mollusca; Gastropoda; Planorbidae.